Molecule: long non-coding RNA, 3951 nt
Organism: Equus caballus (horse)
Lineage: Eukaryota; Metazoa; Chordata; Mammalia; Perissodactyla; Equidae
Source: Ensembl
CCCUUCUGUGAUGGGAAUUGGUUUAAGCGAUCAGUUUUGAAUUUAAAAAACAUUUAAGAAAUUUUACAUCUUGUGCUCUUUCCGCACUGGACCAUAAUUUGAUCUCUAGAAAUGUAAUCUAGUUUGCCCUUUUCGGAAAUUUCUUUAUUCUUAUGUAGAUAAUUUGACUUUCAGAAAAAAAAAUUUCUCACCUGGUAAUUUUUCACUGCUUACUUGAAAUGGCCGUUUCCCCAUUUUCCCCCUACAAGCACCAACGAAGUUUAACAAAGUGUUACUUCUUAGGAAGGUAUUGUUGGCCAAGCACAUCCUGAGGUGUACAUAUUAGCAUGAAAACUGUGUUCGUGGAGUAUGAUGUAGCAUGCUCAGCCUCCAACUCUAUUGCCUUUUUCUUAAUACCCUAGAAGAAGCAUAGUUCUCUAAAUGUAAGUUAGUUUUUGGAAGAAAGUUAUUUCCCACGUUUGAAUUUGGGAUAUUCCAGUUAAACUUGUCUGAAUGCCAGUAGCCGGAAGAAUGGAAUCUUAUAUGGUAAUUACAUCCCAGUUGAGCGAGGUAGCUUUCUUGAUAUUCAGCUGUUACAGACUUCUCAGAGUGUUAGGACAAUCUCUCUUAAACAUUUAGGAUAAACGUUUGUUCUCACAGGACAAACGUUGAGGUACCGAAUUAAAAGAUCUUACAUUUGCCUUGAUGCUUGCUUACAAUCAGGAGUCCCAUCUGAAAUACUUAAGUCUUGGAACUUCCUCUGUUCUCUCCAGCCAUGUGAGAAAGUAGGUAGAAGUAAAGCCUACUCCAUGAAGUGGGUACUGCGGGGGAAAAGGUCAUUCCUAAUUUGUAGGGCAAUCUAGAAUAUGUCGUAUCUCCUAAUCAUUACUGAUAAAUAUUUGUCACUCAACUAACUUUUUGAGGAUCACUUUUAUGUAUUCUGUAUUAAUAAAUUUUGAAAGUUUAGAUUCCUCUUAGAACUUAUCUUCUCUCAGGAAGGUUGAGGAAAAGCUUGCUUUGUGAAGAGAGUAUGCGUGGGGGAUAUUUUUCUACAUCUAACAUUUAAUAUCUUAAAAAUAUUCUAUAGACCAAUAAUAAAUAUAAGUGGAUAGUAACUGUAAUUUAAAUAAUUUGUUAUUCUAAAAAUUAACCUUUUAACAAGAACACAAUUACUGGUAGAAUUGACUAUUGCUAAUUUUGUUUUAUUUUGUUGCCACUGUUUUUAAAAUAAGAUCUUUGCCAUGUAUAAAUAUGUCUAAAUAAAGUAUAUAUUGUAGUUAACAAAAAUUAAUAUCAUCAAAGGAAUGAGUAGAGUAGAAAAUGAACAGCUUUUAAAAACCAAUUAUAUAAUUUCAUAUUCUAUAUUAUGCAGAGUUAUCAAAUAUGUUUUUCAAAAAUUGUUUCUUUGUGCAGAAAGACAUCUUGUUUUUUAAACAAACUUUCUAAAUCCUAUAAGUUGACCUUUCCUAUUCCAACAAUCCAAAUCAACUAGUAGAUAUUCUCAGUAACCUGAGAUUUUUCAAAGUAUGCACUAACAGCAAAGAAACUGGAUUAUUGCAUUAUAACUAUGGUCAUGUGUCACUUAACAGUGGGGAUAUGUUCUGAGAAAUGUGUUGUUAGGCAGUUUUGUAGUUGUGUGAACAUCAAAGAGUGUACUCUCACAAACCUAGAUGGUCUGGCUUACUACACACUUAGGCUGUAUGGCACUAAUCUUGUAGGACCACAGUCACAUGGGCAGUGUGUCACUCAUCAAAACAUCUUUAUGCAGCGUAUACUGUAUUUCAUGCAUAAAACUGCCUCCAUCUAAAAUGCUGCUGCAAAUACCUGGGAGGUUACAUGACAUUCUUAGAGAUAAUGCGCAAUCUUAUAUAUUGACUUUUGAACUGUGUAUCUGACAAAUGCAAGAAGUGCAGUGUUGAUGUUAAUCUACUCCUGUUAGCUUGUAAAUAUUUGCUGUAUUUUAUUGAGAAACAUUUGGAUUGAGUUCUGUCACUUACUAGGAUUUUCUUCAGUGCCCAGAUAUCUUUAAUUUAUGCAAUUUGUAGAAUGCCCAAGGCUUUCAUUUCUAAAUUGCAACAGAACACUUUACAGUUACUGCACUUUAAGUUAAGCUUUCAAAUUCUCAUGGGCAGCUCUUGUUAUUUAUGCUUCUAGAGUUCACUCUAGAAAAAAUUAAAGAACCCAAAAGCCUUUCGUUUUAAAAGAGAAAUCCAAAAAAUUCAGGCUAAAACAAUUGACACAGAAGUAACAAAUCAAGUGGUAUCUCUGACCUCCAUCCUCCAAGAGUUUGAUCCACAAUUGGGAUUUUCUCCCUACAGAGUCAUUACAUAGCACCCAUGCAUUAUUUUUGUGAUGAUUGCACUAAAAAUGUUCAGAUGAAUCUUUCAGGUUGUACCCCUCUCAAAGAAAAACAGUGCAUUGAUCAAAGAUAAAGACUUUCAGACAUGAGGUAGAAAUUUGUUUUCAGCAUGUUUUUUAAAAGGCUUUUUUUUCCCCCCUAAGUGGACAAGUGCCUAUUCUUGUCUUUUAAAAAGUUUUGAGAAGACGUGUUGGAGUAAAGAUAAUAUUGAUAUGCUUGAUACAUAAUUUCCCUGGAUGUCUAAUGUAUUAUAUUUUCUAAAAACGUAUGUUUUGUCAAUCAGAUCACUGUUGAAAGAAGUAACUCUGAAAGGGAUGAGGAGUGGCUGUAAAUAUUUUUAAUUCCUUUGUAUGGUUUCGUUUGAGAGAAUUGUAAGGAUUUCAACAUUUUUGUAUUUAGAAACAUCAAAUAAAUGUUGGGGUGUGUGUGUGUGGAAGAGCAGGAACAGGCAACUUUUAAAGUAACAGCAACAUUAGAGGGCCCUUCCAGGACAUGGUUUAAAGGUCUGUGAAAUUAGAGCUGCUCCUCUCACUUCCCUUUAAGUGGAGUCCAAUUUUAAGAAAGAGCGAUUCCUGCAUCAAUAGUUGUUAAUUGGGAAAAGGGAGAUGAAAAUGCUCCUUUAGAGCCUACAGUACUAACAGCUGGCCAGUUUUCUUUUUCAUGGUUCCUUUUGUGGAAGCACCAAGCAAAACAGGAAAUAUUUUUAGUGUCAUUCUAGUAUUGUAAUCAUCUUUCUGAAUGACUGUUGGCCUGUUAGACUAUGAACUCUGAGGACUAGGACACAGCCUGAGUCCUGUCCAUAUCCUCAGAGCCUAGAACUGUGGCUAAAAUUUGGAGACAUUUAUCAUUGAUCCACAGGUUAGAAAUGUCUACUAUUAGUGUAUUCUUGAUUUCUUAGCUUUAUAUUUUAGCUGGAACAAUCUGUUGUUCUCACAGCUCUCAUCUGGCCUCACAGUGGAACUGCAUUGGAUAAUCACUGAAAGUUUUUCCAAUACAAAGUGGUUGAUGAAGCAUAGUAAAUGGUCAAUAAAUAUUUGUUGACCAGAAGAAUUGAUGAUCCAAUAAAACUAUUAAUGAGAUAUUUUUUUUUAGGUGAAUGGCAUAGAUGUUGUUCAGAUUUACUUUGAAAGAAUCAAGUAUGUGAACCCAAUGAUGAAUGGAAUUGUGAACCACAGAGAUGGUAUCAGCAGAAUCCAGACAGUGGGAAACUACAGGACAAAUGACCCAGUUUCUUCAGUAAAUGAAUUACCAGGAUGAAAGAAAGAAAUGGAGGAUGAUCCUAUAGAUUAAAGGAGACUUAAGAGACAUAUAACCAAUUGUAAUAUAUGGAUCUUUUUUGGAUCCUAAUUUGACCAAACUGUAAAUUUGUGAGACAAUCCAGAUAAUUUGAAAAUUGACUUGAUAUUUGAUAUUAGUUGGGAUAAUGGUAUUGUGGUUAUGUUGAAAACAAGAGUCCUUAUCUUUUGGAGAUUCAUUCUCAAAUAUUUAUGGUUGAAAUGAUGACUGGCGUUUGCUUCAAAAUAGUAAGUCUGGAUGUUAAGUGCAUUGGAGAUGUUGAAACAAGACUGGCCUUGACUUGAUAAUUGUUGAAGCUGGGUGAUGGUUAAAUGAUG